Molecule: long non-coding RNA, 714 nt
Organism: Quercus lobata
Lineage: Eukaryota; Viridiplantae; Streptophyta; Magnoliopsida; Fagales; Fagaceae
Exons: 3
Source: RefSeq, a predicted model, not a curated record
UAUAUAUCUAAUUCGAAAUACCCUCACUGUAAGACUUACAUUCCUUUGUAGAAAUCUGUUAUACAGUAAGUUGUUACACCAAAUUAAACUUUGCUCGCUGCCAUCCAAAACUCUAAUGGCAUUAUUAUAUGCUCUGCAAAUCCGAGCUGAAAUGCAGUUUGCUGAUUGCCUUCAACCAAGUGGAGGUGUCGACAUCAGGACUUUUGAUUAUAGGCUGCAGGUUGAGUGUAACAACUGCAGAGAUAAUAAUGAAAUAUCUGUAACCUUGGAGGCAUGAGCAGGGGAAAAAAAAUUUAAGGUCAAGGUCGCUCUUUCUAGAAGAUGGACAGCGACCAGUCUGGUGUAUUUGCUCCUCUCAUGCAGUUUAAGUGUAAAGGAGUUGUGCCAAAAGAGUUUAGGUUUAGUGGCAGAUGGCAAUGCAAGAUUGAAUUCUUAGAAGAAGAGCAGCACUUUGAAUUCAUGAAUGGGGGUCAAACGUGGACAUCUCAGUCCGUUAAUAGACGAACCGCCUCUAUUGCUGGAUUGGAUGCAAAAUUUAUGUUGAUUCAGAAUUGAACAUUUAAUGUUCUAAACUUUAUUGAUGUUGGGUUAUAAUGCACUAAUAUUUAGUUUUCUAAACUCUAUCUUUAUUUUUCAGAAUUUGGUUGUAAUGAUUAAUAUUUAGUUUUCUGAACUUUAUCUUUAUUAUUCAGAACUUGAUUGUAAGCAUGUGUU